AUGGGGAAACAACAUGUUUUCACCGAUCAAACAAAUGACACAUUUUUUUCUGAUAAUUGAUCACAUGGUUAAUGUUAAUUCUGAAAAAAAAAAUCCGAUAGGAUGUUCGCAUCCCCGUGAGUGAACGAAACAUUUCCCAAAUCAAGAUUUAAAUAGUAAAAAAAACAAUUCCUUCAACGUCUUUUCAAUGCAAGAAUUAAAAAAAAACGUGUCAUGAGAGGGGGAGAAAUGACAAGGAGAGGAGAAGAAGGAGAGAGCCGUGAGUUGAGGGGAGGCUGGAGAGGGAGGGCCGGACGCAUGACAUCAUUCCCUCAGCUUCCCUGCGCGGACAGCGCUCUGGUUUCUCCAAGUGCGCACGGCGGCUGCUGCUGAGGGAGCGACUCCUCCUGCCGUACCCAGACGCGUCCUGAGCAACCAGCGCUCCUCGGGUGGAUAUUAAAAACAAUAUUGAACCCAGACGAGGAACCCGGGAAGUGCUCCUCACUGGAGCCGCCACAGGGACGCACACAUCCAACACAAGACCCGGGGAUUAUUGCUUGUUUUAAUUAUGAAGAUGUGAGGGUUUAUAGGCUCAGAAGAAAGAAAGAAGAACUCCGAGGCUGACUAAAAGGUGCAAGUGAACCAGUAACCAGAAGAAGAAGAAGUUGAAGCCGGGGGAGCAGCUGAAGAUAUGAAGCUAAAGAGGUUUUGAAAACAACCCAGUUAGUGCCAAGCCGCCCCGCGUGAAGACCCCCCCCCACCCGACCCUCCCCGCACAGCCAGGGCCUCGCCGCUGAGGCCGGGCCACAGACCAGUCCCGCUCCGCCCCUCCCUACCCCUC
Long non-coding RNA from Pungitius pungitius (ninespine stickleback), 820 nucleotides. RefSeq lists it as uncharacterized. The transcript is spliced from 3 exons. The record is from RefSeq and is a predicted model, not a curated record. Lineage: Eukaryota; Metazoa; Chordata; Actinopteri; Perciformes; Gasterosteidae.